AUGGAGCUGCCUCUGGGAGAUGCCCUCCUCCCCAUUCCACAGCCGGGAGGCACACAGGGCAGGAUUCCAGUUAGGAGCUCUUCCUCAGGGCUUCCCCUCCAGCUUCCUCCCACCCACCCCCACCCUCCCGGAAGCAGGAGAGGUCGCCCCCCACCCCGCCCCGCCCCGUCCCACAGUUUGCACAGUUGUAAUGGCGGAAACCAAGGCCCCACUAGGGUCAGUCACCAGGUGUCGGGCGAAGCAGUCCCAGCUGGGAACUGGAUCAGGCCAACAGGGAGCAGAGGAGUAAAGGCAGGGCGGCCCAGCCAGCUUCAGGGAGGCCGGUGGCAGACUAUUCACCAGGGAGCGCCCAGAUCUCUCCCCGGGCAGAGCAGGGAGAGGGGGCUAGGGCCAAGAUCCCCUCGGCUCUCCCCUCCAACUCCUUCCAGAGCGGCCCCGCGAUGCACCAGCCAGCAGGGCCCCUCCCCCACCUUGGGCCCAGGAGCCAUCCCCCAGCUCCUUCCAGAGGCGGGUGCAGAGACCGAGGAGGAAAUGGGGGAGGGGAGGCCCCGGCUCAAGUUCUCUCCACUCCCCCUCCUCAUUGGCCACCAUCUUCCGGCCCCUGCCCCCCGGAGCAGCAGGGGAUGGGGCCCAGCCUGCGGAAGGGAGAGAAAGGGCAGGUGGAGGGUUAGCCGGAGCAGCAGGGGCAGGGGCCGGCCCCAACUGUCUCCUCCCACCCCCUCCCCGCAGCCAUGGCGACGGGCGCAGGAGACCGGAGGGUCCUGGGCGCCAGGCUCGGGGAGCGGGCGGAGAGGGGCAGGGGGAGUGCAGGGUGGGGGCUCUCUCCCGCGACACCCAGCCGUGCCCCCGCACACACACCCCUCCGGGCUGGACCACACGCGCGCGCACACAAACUCCCAGCCCUACUUGCCACUCGGCUCAGCCCGCACUCCGCACUUCCCCGGGCAGCAAGCUGUGCGGCGCGAGCCCCAGGACCCCCGAUCCCCGCCCCGCACCCCCGCGUCCCGCACCCUGCGAGCUCCAGGGCCGGCCUCGCACCCGCACGCAGCCACCCCGGCUCACCCCACAACUUCUCAGGAUGCACAACUCCCCGGCCGGCUCGGCCCUCCCCGCACACACCCCCGCCCCCCCGCCCCCCGCACACGCGCCCGGGCGCCGACGGACCGCCCGGCCUCAGCCCUGCCCCGCCGCACCCCCCCCCGCCCCACCACACCCCCCGCUGGAAAAUGA
This 1230-nucleotide long non-coding RNA is filed under the name Canis lupus familiaris (dog). Its description in RNAcentral is "lncRNA (ENSCAFG00040014200.1)". Lineage: Eukaryota; Metazoa; Chordata; Mammalia; Carnivora; Canidae. The record is from RNAcentral.